This 253-nucleotide ribosomal RNA is filed under the name uncultured bacterium. RNAcentral's name for it is "partial 16S ribosomal RNA". It matches the Rfam family "Bacterial small subunit ribosomal RNA", at positions 524 to 776 of the family's 1533-position model. The record is from RNAcentral.
UACGUAGGGGGCAAGCGUUAUCCGGAUUUACUGGGUGUAAAGGGCGUGUAGGCGGGGAAGCAAGUCAGAUGUGAAAACCACGGGCUCAACCUGUGGCCUGCAUUUGAAACUGUUUUUCUUGAGUGCUGGAGAGGCAAUCGGAAUUCCGUGUGUAGCGGUGAAAUGCGUGGAUAUUAGGAGGAACACCAGUGGCGAAGGCGGUCUGCUGGACAGCAACUGACGGUGAGGCGCGAAAGCGUGGGGAGCAAACAGG